Molecule: ribosomal RNA, 395 nt
Filed under: uncultured bacterium
Lineage: Bacteria
Description: bacterial SSU rRNA
Rfam family: Bacterial small subunit ribosomal RNA
Source: RNAcentral
UAAGGAAUAUUGGUCAAUGGACGCAAGUCUGAACCAGCCAUGCCGCGUGGAGGAUGAAGGUCCUCUGGAUUGUAAACUUCUUUGAUCUGGGACGAAACACUUCUUUUCUAAGAGGCCUGACGGUACCAGAUGAAUAAGCACCGGCUAACUCCGUGCCAGCAGCCGCGGUAAUACGGAGGGUGCAAGCGUUAUCCGGAUUCACUGGGUUUAUAGGGUGCGUAGGUGGGUAUGUAAGUCAGUGGUGAAAUCCCCGAGCUUAACUUGGGACCUUCCAUUGCUACUAUAUGUCUUGAAUACCGUAGAGGUAAGCGGAAUAUGUCAUGUAGCGGUGAAAUGCUUAGAUAUGACAUGGAACACCAAUUGCGAAGGCAGCUUACUAUGCGGUGAUUGACACU